Molecule: long non-coding RNA, 1553 nt
Organism: Paramisgurnus dabryanus
Lineage: Eukaryota; Metazoa; Chordata; Actinopteri; Cypriniformes; Cobitidae
Source: RefSeq, a predicted model, not a curated record
AAAACGUUGGGUUGUUUUUUCAACCCAACUGCUGGGUUGAGCCAGUUGGGUUAUUUUGUUGGGUUGUUUUAUCAGUGUUGGGUAGUUUUUGUGUAACCCAACUUGUUGGGUUAUAUGUUGGGUAAUUUUGAAGCAGAGCCAACUUAAUAGAUACAUAUAGCUGUUUCUCAAUAUUACUUUCUCUAGUCCACAAAAUGUAUUUUAAACAUAAGUUCAGGCGAGAAUAUAUAUGUAUAAUGUUCAAAUUUGCAGUCGGUUUGUAAAGUGAACGCCAAUUUUAAAGUUUAAUUUCAAAAAGUCGGAAUGUUACCGGCGCGACCACCGGGUGUCAGUGUUGUUCUUCCCCAGAGAGAACUUCUCCCUUCCCCCACACAGACACGUCAGACUCCUCCUGCCACAGCACGCUACCUGACGCGGGAAUUUAACAUCACCUCAGGAUUCAUAAACGGUUUUUCAUCGACUUAUCUUUCAUUUAUUUGAAGGAAAAGACCCUGAUGGAUAAAAGAUGGAUAUUUUUUUCCUGGAGAAGCUAAAACAAUGUCACUUUGAGGUUCUGAUACCAGCUUUUACAAAGUUAUUUACAGAGUUCACAAGACUUCUCUGUGUUAUUCCCUGACCAUGCCGAAAAGCUAUUUGAAACUUGGGCACUGCAUUUUCCAGACAGAAUCCUGCAACUUCCCAGCCAAGAACCAGGAGCAUCAACAAAUCACCUACAGAACCCCAUGAUGAUAUUCCAACUCCUGUCUACAAAAGUGGGAAGAAAAUCUUAAGUUUAUGUUGGGACCAACAUGGUUGCAUUCUUCUGAGAGGCUGAGGUGACAAAACCAUUCCCAUUUGUCCUUGGAUUGGAAGAUGACGAUCUCUGCCAUCAAGCCUUCGUUGUUUUUGACAGACAGUCACUCCAGCAAUACACCCUCCUUGGUGAUGUUGACAUGUUUUAAACUUUUUUUUAUGUUUUGGACAUUCAUUUUACUAAGCAGUGCACAUCAGUGUGGGUGUUUUUGAAGACUGUUGUUUACAAACUCCCAAGAACGGAAUCCCUUUCUAUAAGAAGUCUGUGUAGUUAUUUGUCAUGCUAAGGUGAUAACUCAUGUUGAUCAUAUAUUGACUGUUUGUGCAACUUAGUGUUGAUCUUAUGUGUUACAUUAACCAUUUCUUAUUACACGGUUCUCUAAAAUGCUAGUUUCUGAUUGGCUAGUCGUGACAUUCUACUACUGCUCAAAACUAAAAACUCCAAUGCUGCAAAUCAUUUUGACAGGUACAGUUUUAUAUUACACAAAAAUUAAAUAUCAAUGUCUAUUAAUAACAUAUCCGACAUUAAAUUUACAAAUGAUUAAACCAAUGUGUUUGUGACAUUUGUCCUGAAGAAACUGUUGGGGCUUUUUUCUGUGAUGACAUGCUGCCAAUACAUUAUCCCUUACUUUUUACUUGAUCUAAUUGUAAUGUUAACUGGGUAUCUGUCAUUUUAGAUUGUGAGAUAUAAUACUAAUAUAUUUUUUUUUAUUAGAAAGUUGAUUGUUUGUGUAGGGCUAUGUACUCUUUUAUUGUUCAUG